RNAcentral lists this ribosomal RNA (433 nucleotides) under uncultured bacterium. RNAcentral describes it as "partial 16S ribosomal RNA". It matches the Rfam family "Bacterial small subunit ribosomal RNA", at positions 29 to 507 of the family's 1533-position model. The record is from RNAcentral.
AACGAACGCUGGCGGCAUGCCUAACACAUGCAAGUCGAACGAGACCUUCGGGUCUAGGGGCGCACGGGUGCGUAACGCGUGGGAACCUGCCCUUAGGUUCGGAAUAACUCCCCGAAAGGGGUGCUAAUACCGGAUAAUGUCUUCGGACCAAAGAUUUAUCGCCUUUGGAUGGGCCCGCGUUGGAUUAGCUAGUUGGUAGGGUAAAAGCCUACCAAGGAGACGAUCCAUAGCUGGUCUGAGAGGAUGAUCAGCCACACUGGGGCUGAGACACGGACCAGACUCGUACGCGAGGGAGGAGUGGGGAAUAUUAGGCAAGGGGGGAAAGUCUGAUCAAGCAAUGCGGGGGGAGUGAUGAAGGCCGUAGGGUUGUAAAGCUCUUUUACCCGAGAUGAUAAUGACAGUACCGGGAGAAGAAGCACCGGCUAACUACGUG